UACGGAGGGUGCAAGCGUUAUCCGGAUUCACUGGGUUUAAAGGGUGCGUAGGUGGGUUUGUAAGUCAGUGGUGAAAUCUCCAAGCUUAACUUGGAACUGCCGUUGAUACUAUAAAUCUUGAAUGUUGUGGAGGUGAGCGGAAUAUGUCAUGUAGCGGUGAAAUGCUUAGAUAUGACAUAGAACACCAAUUGCGAAGGCAGCUCACUACACAAAGAUUGACACUGAGGCACGAAAGCGUGGGGAUCAAACAGGA
RNAcentral lists this ribosomal RNA (253 nucleotides) under uncultured bacterium. RNAcentral's name for it is "partial 16S ribosomal RNA". It matches the Rfam family "Bacterial small subunit ribosomal RNA", at positions 524 to 777 of the family's 1533-position model. The record is from RNAcentral.